AUAAAAACAAGGCAUGCAUUUACUGAGAAACAUCUGUUUAGCACUGAUGUUUACUUCUCCUCUGGCCCAACUGAAUGGGUUCUGAAAGAGCUGACUCGUGAUUGCACGACUUCUCAAAUGCUUUUCCAUGGUCACGGGAAUCUGGAGAAGUCCUUGGUGACUGGAAGCUGUUCCAGUUUUGAAGAAGGAAUGAAUAACAUUUUACCAAGAAGACUAAUGGACAAUUCUUCAGAGACAACGAAGGACCUAAAUAAUGAGUGUCUUCAGUGAAGCAUGUUUAUCUAUAAAAGUGCAGUUCCUCGAAGGGCACCAGACAUGCUGCUUCACUUUGAGUGAUCUUUGCAAUUUCCCACUAAAGAAGUUCUGUGACCAAACACACAACUCUGAUCAUAUCUUCAAAGUUUUGUUUGGAGGCAUACAGAGAAGCAAAUCCAAAAGCCUCAUUGGAUGGGAAUGAGGGAUGGUGGAAAAAGACUACUCUGUCUACAACAUUUAUAACCACCUGGUAAAACCUCAGCUUUUGUCAAUGAUACCUGCAACUCAGAGGGAACAGAAGGAAAACAAGACAAUUUGUGCACUGUCAUAGAAUCAUAGAAUCACAGAAUGGU
Molecule: long non-coding RNA, 608 nt
Organism: Numida meleagris (helmeted guineafowl)
Lineage: Eukaryota; Metazoa; Chordata; Aves; Galliformes; Numididae
Exons: 3
Source: RefSeq, a predicted model, not a curated record